This is a non-coding RNA of Parasteatoda tepidariorum (common house spider), 1202 nucleotides long. The record is from RefSeq and is a predicted model, not a curated record. Lineage: Eukaryota; Metazoa; Arthropoda; Arachnida; Araneae; Theridiidae.
AGGAGCAAAGGAAAAUUUAAUGUUUGAAAUCUCCACAUCAGAUCAAGGCAAGAUCAAGUUUUUGUACAAAUGCAAGAAAAUUUUUCUUUCCCAGUGUAAUUUAUUUGGAAUUUGAAAUUUAUAACUUAACAAUUAUUGUCAUAAUAACUUAACAAUUAUUACAGAACAGUUUUUCAAUUAACAAUUCUACAUUCAUUUUCUCGUACCUCAUUCCCGGUACCAUCUCAUCAAAAGUACAAUGUUGUCUAAAAUAAACGUUAAACACGAGUCCAUGAUGAAUUAUUAAUUUUAAUUUCUCAUCCAAAUAAAUGAUCAAUAACGGUUUUAAUACUUAAAUUUGAAUAAUUAUAUCGUACUUAAUAAGUCUGUUUUCUGUUUUUAUAAUAUUCUUUCAUGCUAGGUUUUCUUCGGAGUAAAAGGGUUUAGUGAAAAUAUUUUAAUCAAUAAAUACUGUUGUUAUGUCAAUAUGUAAAUUGACGCAACAAUAUUACACAUUGUGAAUAAUUGUUACUCCAAUAUAUUAUGCAAUAAAUUCUAUUCUAUGUUUCUACGUCUUACAUAACACUUGAUAGAUGAGUAUUUAUGAGGUAUCAAAUAUCGGCUAAUUAUUUGUGUUACAUCUAUAAAUUAUGUGAAUGUGGACGAAUUCGCAAAUUAAAUUAAAUUCUCUCUUGUACUAGUAAAAUAUAUAAAAAAUUAACAGUAAAUGCAUAUUAACGAAUAUGCGAUUGGGGUAUUAAUGUGAAAAAUGUAACCUUCGAGCCUUACUACUUCAUAACCAAAAUAAAAAAUUUAUUUAUAAAUAAACAGAAAAAUGCAUACCAUUUUCUCUUGAAAAUGGAAACUCAAGGUUAGUGGGAAAAUAGCGUAGGGUAUCACUUUUGUUAGCCUCGUAAAUAUUGUCAGAGUUUUUUAAUAGAUCAAUAUUGUGAAUGUAAAAUCUACUUGCUAUUUACCGAUUUAAAAGACAUUUUUUAAUCCAUUCAUUUAUUUUAUUUCAGUACGAAAUACUGUUAAUGGUGGAGUGGGAAAACUAAUGGGAGCUAUAAGCAGCCUCACUGAUAGUGGAACUGCUCUUGGACCAGUAGGUGGAUUAGUGAACGCUGUCGGCCAUGCUGGCGGUCAUCUCAUUCAAGGAAAACUGAAUGAAAUUGAUUUCAUGGUAAAUGAUGCUGCUUGUGGACGUAAGUAAUUUCAUUUAU